GCGCUCAUCGUAUAGGGGUCUUAGUACACCUCCCUUCCAAGGAGGAGACGGGGGUUUCGAGUCCCUCUGAGCGCA
Molecule: non-coding RNA, 75 nt
Organism: Dunaliella salina
Lineage: Eukaryota; Viridiplantae; Chlorophyta; Chlorophyceae; Chlamydomonadales; Dunaliellaceae
Source: the annotation of a GenBank genome assembly